GGACUACAGGGGUUUCUAAUCCCGUUUGCUCCCCUGGCUUUCGCGCCUCAGCGUCAGAAGAGGUCCAGCACGCCGCUUUCGCCACCGGCGUUCCUUCCGAUAUCUACGCAUUUCACCGCUCCACCGGAAGUUCCGCAUGCCCCUACCUCCCUCAAGACCAUCAGUAUCCCGGGCGGUUUUCCGGUUGAGCCGAAAGAUUUCACCCCAGACUUGAUGAUCCGCCUACGCGCCCUUUAAGCCCAGUGAAUCCGAACAACGUUCGCACGGUUCGUCUUACCGCGGCUGCUGGCAC
RNAcentral lists this ribosomal RNA (292 nucleotides) under uncultured bacterium. Its description in RNAcentral is "partial 16S ribosomal RNA". The record is from RNAcentral. RNAcentral also lists the same sequence under 2 other names.